GACGAACGCUGGCGGCGUGCCUAAUACAUGCAAGUUGAGCGCUGAAGGUUGGUACUUGUACCAACUGGAUGAGCAGCGAACGGGUGAGUAACGCGUGGGGAAUCUGCCUUUGAGCGGGGGACAACAUUUGGAAACGAAUGCUAAUACCGCAUAAAAACUUUAAACACAAGUUUUAAGUUUGAUAGAUGCAAUUGCAUCACUCAAAGAUGAUCCCGCGUUGUAUUAGCUAGUUGGUGAGGUAAAGGCUCACCAAGGCGAUGAUACAUAGCCGACCUGAGAGGGUGAUCGGCCAAAAUGGGACUGGGAAACGGCCCAAACUCCUACGGGAGGCAGCAGUAGGGAAUCUUCGGCAAUGGACGAAAGGCUGACCGAGCAACGCCGCGUGAGUGAAGAAGGGUUUCGGAUCGUAAAACUCUGUUGGUAGAGAAGAACGUGGGUGAGAGUGGAAAGCUCAUCAAGUGACGGUAACUACCCAGAAAGGGACGGCUAACCACGUG
RNAcentral lists this ribosomal RNA (497 nucleotides) under uncultured bacterium. RNAcentral describes it as "partial 16S ribosomal RNA". It matches the Rfam family "Bacterial small subunit ribosomal RNA", at positions 28 to 507 of the family's 1533-position model. The record is from RNAcentral.